This 551-nucleotide ribosomal RNA is filed under the name Verruconis gallopava. RNAcentral's name for it is "eukaryotic LSU rRNA". It matches the Rfam family "Eukaryotic large subunit ribosomal RNA", at positions 50 to 604 of the family's 3401-position model. The record is from RNAcentral. Lineage: Eukaryota; Fungi; Ascomycota; Dothideomycetes; Venturiales; Sympoventuriaceae.
GCGGAGGAAAAGAAACCAACUGGGAUUGCCUCAGUAACGGCGAGUGAAGCGGCAACAGCUCAAAUUUGAAAUCUGGCGCCUUGGGCGUCCGAGUUGUAAUUUGUAGAGGGAGUCUCGGGUUAAGGGUCGGUCCAAGUGCCUUGGAACAGGAUACCGAAGAGGGUGAGAGUCCCGUAUCCGGCCGACGCCAGCGCCCGUGUGAGGCCCCUUCGACGAGUCGAGUUGUUUGGGAAUGCAGCUCUAAAUGGGUGGUAAAUUCCAUCUAAAGCUAAAUACUGGCCAGAGACCGAUAGCGCACAAGUAGAGUGAUCGAAAGAUGAAAAGCACUUUGAAAAGAGAGUCAAACAGUACGUGAAAUUGUUGAAAGGGAAGCGUAUGUGGGCAGACUUGGACGCUGGAUUCAGGCCGUCUUCUGGCGGGUGCAUUUUCCAGCGGACAGGCCAGCAUCGGUUCUGAGGGCCGGACAAAGACGAAGGGAAUGUGGCUCCUCUCUGGGGAGUGUUAUAGCCCGGCGUGCAAUGCGGCCACUUGGGACCGAGGACCGCGCAUUU